Molecule: long non-coding RNA, 327 nt
Filed under: Equus caballus (horse)
Lineage: Eukaryota; Metazoa; Chordata; Mammalia; Perissodactyla; Equidae
Description: lncRNA (ENSECAG00000043952.1)
Source: RNAcentral
AUAAAGAAGCUGAGGUCUGGAGAGGAGAAGGGACGAAGGUCUGGCCGCAAGUCCAGCACAAGCCAGGUUGUCAUAUUUGCAGCCACGCGAUUUAUCGCUACGGAUGGAGCUCUGGUGAACCAUCUUGAACACGUCUCCUUAGUCGCCUGUCUAGAUCUUCUCUCUCUGAGUGUUUUGACUCAAAGCAUUGAUUAGGCCCUGGGGAUACCUCAGGGAAAAAAGGAGUCACAAAUCUCUGCCUUUGUGGAGCACACCGUGAGCCCAAAUUUACACCUAAGGACACUGGAGCACAGAGAGGUUAAGUGCUUUUCUGAGUCCGCACAGUGA